Molecule: ribosomal RNA, 466 nt
Filed under: uncultured bacterium
Lineage: Bacteria
Description: partial 16S ribosomal RNA
Rfam family: Bacterial small subunit ribosomal RNA
Source: RNAcentral
AACGAACGCUGGCGGUAUGCUUAACACAUGCAAGUCGAACGAACAAAAUUGGGGCUUGCUCCAAUUUUAGUGAGUGGCAAACGGGUGAGCAACACGUGGGAAUCUACCUAUCAGUACGGAAUAACAUUUGGAAACAGAUGCUAAUACCGUAUAUUCUCCGAGGAGGAAAGAUUUAUCGCUGAUAGAUGAGCCCGCGCAAGAUUAGGUAGUUGGUAGGGUAAUGGCCUACCAAGCCGACGAUCUUUAGCUGGUCUGAGAGGAUGAUCAGCCACACUGGAACUGAGACACGGCCCAGACUCCUACGGGAGGCAGCAGUGGGGAAUAUUGGACAAUGGGCGAAAGCCUGAUCCAGCAAUACCGCGUGAAUGAUGAAGGCCUUAGGGUUGUAAAGUUCUUUUAGUUGGAAAGAUAAUGACGGUACCAACAGAAAAAGCCCCGGCUAACUCCGUGCCAGCCGCCGCCGUAA